RNAcentral lists this ribosomal RNA (1376 nucleotides) under metagenome. RNAcentral describes it as "bacterial SSU rRNA". It matches the Rfam family "Bacterial small subunit ribosomal RNA", at positions 147 to 1498 of the family's 1533-position model. The record is from RNAcentral.
CAUUGCGAAAGCGAUGCUAAUACCGGAUGAUAUUCUAAUUACGUAGGUAGUUAGAAUCAAAGAUGGCCUCUUAACAAAGCUAUUGUCUGGGGAUGAGCCCGCGUACCAUUAGCUAGUUGGUAAGGUAAAAGCUUACCAAGGCAACGAUGGUUAGCUGGUCUGAGAGGAUGAUCAGCCACACUGGAACUGACACACGGUCCAGACUCCUACGGGAGGCAGCAGUGAGGAAUUUUGCGCAAUGGGGGAAACCCUGACGCAGCAACGCCGCGUGAGUGAUGAAGGUUUUCGGAUCGUAAAGCUCUGUCGAGUGGGAAGAAAGUGCGAGUGAUUAAUACUCAUUUGUACUGACGGUACCAUAGAAGGAAGCACCGGCUAACUCCGUGCCAGCAGCCGCGGUAAUACGGGGGGUGCAAGCGUUAUUCGGAAUUAUUGGGCGUAAAGAGCGCGUAGGCGGUUUAUUAAGUCAGAUGUGAAAGCCCGGGGCUUAACCCCGGAAGUGCAUUUGAAACUGGUAGGCUUGAGUAUGGGAGAGGGAAGUGGAAUUCCUGGUGUAGAGGUGAAAUUCGUAGAUAUCAGGAGGAACACCGGUGGCGAAGGCGACUUCCUGGACCAAUACUGACGCUGAGGCGCGAAGGCGUGGGUAGCAAACAGGAUUAGAUACCCUGGUAGUCCACGCAGUAAACGGUGAUCACUAGGUGUAGAGGGUGAAUCCUUCUGUGCCGGAGUUAACGCAUUAAGUGAUCCGCCUGGGGAGUACGACCGCAAGGUUAAAACUCAAAGGAAUUGACGGGGGCCCGCACAAGCGGUGGAGCAUGUGGUUUAAUUCGACGCAACGCGAAGAACCUUACCUGGGUUUGACAUCUAAGGAGUCCAUUUGAAAAAGUGGAGUGCCCUUCGGGGAGCCUUAAGACAGGUGCUGCAUGGCUGUCGUCAGCUCGUGUCGUGAGAUGUUGGGUUAAGUCCCGCAACGAGCGCAACCCCUAUCUUUAGUUGCCAGCAUUAAGUUGGGGACUCUAGAGAUACUGCCCCGGUUAACGGGGAGGAAGGUGGGGAUGACGUCAAGUCCUCAUGGCCUUUAUAUCCAGGGCUACACACGUGCUACAAUGGACUGUACAAAGGGCAGCGAGCCUGCGAGGGUGAGCGAAUCCCAUAAAGCAGUUCUCAGUUCGGAUUGGAGUCUGCAACUCGACUCCAUGAAGUUGGAAUCGCUAGUAAUCGUGGAUCAGCAUGCCACGGUGAAUAUGUUCCCGGGCCUUGUACACACCGCCCGUCACACCAUGAGAGUUGGUUGUACCAGAAGUUGUUGGGCCAACCCCUUUGGGGGAGGCAGGCACCUAAGGUAUGGCUGAUGAUUGGGGUGAAGUCGUAACAAGGUA